Molecule: long non-coding RNA, 1155 nt
Filed under: Astyanax mexicanus (Mexican tetra)
Lineage: Eukaryota; Metazoa; Chordata; Actinopteri; Characiformes; Acestrorhamphidae
Description: lncRNA (ENSAMXG00005007868.1)
Source: RNAcentral
UUUAUUUUAUCUUUUUUUUUUUCUGUUCAGUUAUGCAGGUAUGUGUCAAGCUCUUUCUUGGAUAAUUGACUAUUCUAUCGGGUUACGACUUUGCACAGACUGAGAAAACAAAGAAAUCAAGACUGUCAACUGUCAUGUCAAGAUCAGAGUUUCUUCUGCAGCAGCACGCAAGACAUUUGGGCGGCUCCCUGGACAGAUAGAGCAGCGGCUGAAUGCUGCUGCUGAUGUCCAUGAACCCGAAGGCGAUGUAGUGGAUGUAGCAUUUGAACACGUCGUGAGUGAAGAAAGCCUGGAACGGGAAAAGAGCUACAGGAGGGAGGUAGUUGAAGACGAUGAUGGCCAGAAUAAUGAGGACCAUCUUGAAAGCCCUUUUCUUGACAGGGUGCAUCUCAUCCCGGCCCGGUCCAGACUGCUGCAGGACCCAGAGGAUGGAGAUGUUGCAGAAGACCAUGAACGCAAAGGCUGCCAGGAUCAUGACCGUGAAGACCUUUUCAAAGCUGGGGAUGCUUCCUAUACACUUCAGAACAGCAUAGGCCAGAGUGAUGACCCACAUGACCCCGGCGCACACCGGCCGGUGCGGGCGGUCCUUCAGUUUUGUGAAGGUUAUUGGAUGCCGGACGGCCAUGUAGCGGUCCAGGCAGAUGCAGGACAGAAAGAGGGGUGAGGAGUCCUUCACACCGUAGAAGAAGCGCAGGACGUACCAUGUGCUGCUGGUGGUCAAGUACACCAGGUUGGCAAACUCCAAUGGUGGGAUGAGGCAGAAGAAGGUGUCCAGCACAGCCAGGUGGACAAUGAAGAUGUCUGAGGUGGACGAGUCUCCCUUGCUCCUGAAGAUGAGCCACAGUACCAUGAUGUUGGCCGGUAUGCCCAUGAACAUGUUGAUGAACUGCAUGCCCAGGUAGAAGAGGAUGACCUCGGGCAUGUGCUGGCAGGUUUGAUACACAGUCUUGUCCGCCACAGAGGCAUUGAGGGGGUGGUGACUGAGGAGCAGGGUGUUGUUGAUGUAGGUGGCUGUCUCCAUCCUGCUUCACCUGAUGGAGCAGAUUCUGCAUAGAUCAUAGAAAAAAACUUUAAAUAAUAUAUUUUGAAAAAUACAUUUAGGCAGGGUGUCUUAAAGUAAGGAAACAUACAAUAAAAAAAGUUUGUCAAAAAGUG